Portunus trituberculatus (swimming crab) is the source of this 520-nucleotide long non-coding RNA. RefSeq lists it as uncharacterized. The transcript has 2 exons. The record is from RefSeq and is a predicted model, not a curated record. Lineage: Eukaryota; Metazoa; Arthropoda; Malacostraca; Decapoda; Portunidae.
CUAUACGAGCUCACCUCAGGCGUAUGGCGAGGCUCUUAGGUCACUAUCGCCACGCUUGACUUGGCACUGGCUUUUUCCUCCCACACACAGGGGCCUGUGUUACCUGUACUAAUUUUGGGUAUGGUAAUUCAUCCGGCAUCGAGGUACGCUGCGUGUUCUCCACGCAUGCUCUACUCCAAAGACGUUCUUCUUUGCACAGAGUCUAAUAGACCUAUAUCCUUCCUAUUAUGUGGGAACCACAGAACUGCGCCGCAUAAUCUACAUGUGGAUGUGGUCUGACCAGCACAAAAUAUAAUUUUAAUGUUACUUCGGGACUUUUGCUUUUAACACUCGUAGAAAUUAACCCUAGUACCCUAUUUGCCUCAUUUCUAGCCUUUAUGCAUUGUUUUCUAUAUAUCUCCUAAAUCUUUUUCAUAUUUUGAACCUAACAGGGCCUCACUGUUUAUUGUGUACCUAUUGUGUGGAUUUCCUCCACCUACACUAAGUACUGUGCAUCUGUUAAUGUUAAACUGCGUCCAUC